RNAcentral lists this ribosomal RNA (253 nucleotides) under uncultured bacterium. RNAcentral describes it as "partial 16S ribosomal RNA". It matches the Rfam family "Bacterial small subunit ribosomal RNA", at positions 524 to 776 of the family's 1533-position model. The record is from RNAcentral.
UACGAAGGGUGCAAGCGUUACUCGGAAUUAUUGGGCGUAAAGCGCGCGCAGGCGGCCUUUUAAGUCUGAUGUGAAAGCCCACGGCUCAACCGUGGAAGGUCAUUGGAAACUGAAAGGCUUGAGUACAGAAGAGGAAAGCGGAAUUCCACGUGUAGCGGUGAAAUGCGUAGAGAUGUGGAGGAACACCAGUGGCGAAGGCGGCUUUCUGGUCUGUAACUGACGCUGAGGCGCGAAAGCGUGGGGAGCAAACAGG